UUGGUAUACCUCUGGUAUGUGUUUGUUCCUCUUAUUGCUUGGUGUUUGAAUCUCUGUGUAUUUCUUCCCUGUCCACUGGCCAUGAAUGCUGCAAACUCAGCAAUUAGUUUGUUGUCCUGUUGUUUUGCUUGACUUGCUGCCAGAAAUGAUCCAGAAUCAGAGAUGUAGUUUGUGUUUGCAUACACUUCCCUUUGAUUCUCAUCCUGCAAAAGCAAUGAAUAUGCAAUAUCCAUUUCAGGUGGUAGAUUUUGGCACCACUUGACUUGCCAAACUUCUGCUCCAGACUGUCCCAAAGUUCCUUAGCAGUUUUGAAACUCAUCACACUAUCUGCAAUAUCCUUAGAGAGUGCAUUUGAUAUCCAACAUAUGAUCAUGUCGUUAACACAACUCCAUUGUUCAAAAUCUGUAGAUUCCAGUUCUGGAGCCCUACAGGUUCCAUUGAUGAAGCCAAGUUUCUUCUUGGCUGAUAAGGAUAAGAGGAUGGAUCUCCUCCAACCUGGAUAUCCUCUUCCGUCGAAAACAUUGUUGACCAGAGUCAUACCAGGCAUUUUGCUUCAAUAGGGAUUUGAAGAUGAUGAUGAUGCAGAUUUUGAAGGUGAUGAUGAUGAUACAAACACAGAUCAGUGAUGAUGAUGAUACAAACACAGAUCUGAAUUGAGCUUAGAAAUGCUCUGAUACCAUGUAAAAAUUAAAGAGAGAAAGAGGCUGAGAUAAAUUUUCUGUGUGUUUUAUUGAUGCUAUGUACAUUAGUUUAUAUAGAGUUAUACAAUAGAGACAAGAAGACAUGGGCUACAAAAUUUGUACAAAA
Solanum dulcamara is the source of this 807-nucleotide long non-coding RNA. RefSeq lists it as uncharacterized. The record is from RefSeq and is a predicted model, not a curated record. The transcript has 3 exons. NCBI's taxonomy places the organism in Eukaryota, Viridiplantae, Streptophyta, Magnoliopsida, Solanales, Solanaceae.